CAGCAGCCGCGGGAAUACGAAGGGUGCAAGCGUUACUCGGAAUUACUGGGCGUAAAGCGUGCGUAGGUGGUCGUUUAAGUCUGUUGUGAAAGCCCUGGGCUCAACCUGGGAACUGCAGUGGAAACUGGACGACUAGAGUGUGGUAGAGGGUAGCGGAAUUCCUGGUGUAGCAGUGAAAUGCGUAGAGAUCAGGAGGAACAUCCAUGGCGAAGGCAGCUACCUGGACCAACACUGACACUGAGGCACGAAAGCGUGGGGAGCAAACAGGAUUAGAGACCCCUGUAGUCCUGUCUCUUAUACA
This 301-nucleotide ribosomal RNA is filed under the name uncultured bacterium. Its description in RNAcentral is "partial 16S ribosomal RNA". It matches the Rfam family "Bacterial small subunit ribosomal RNA", at positions 509 to 809 of the family's 1533-position model. The record is from RNAcentral.